Molecule: long non-coding RNA, 418 nt
Organism: Gorilla gorilla gorilla (western lowland gorilla)
Lineage: Eukaryota; Metazoa; Chordata; Mammalia; Primates; Hominidae
Exons: 2
Source: RefSeq, a predicted model, not a curated record
GCUGGAGAAUUCAGCUGCAGGUGCUCUGUCCCAGCAGACAGGAGGCAGGGGGACAAGGAGGGCUUGUUGCCAUCCCCAGUGCAAUGCAGCAGCUCAAGCAUUAGCAGAGGGACAUGCAUCCUUGGUUAGCAAGCAGAUCCAUGAGGAUGUCUGGAAGCAACCAGCUAGAGGCAGGAUGAGCUGUCUCAAGGAAGAAGAAAUCAAAACAGCCUUUAAAUUACUGGAGGUCAUGUCCUGUUUGAAACAACAACAAGAAAAGAGAGCAGAGUGCUACCUCUCCUGCAGAGACCUUGCUGCCAUGAUCUCUAGCCAAAGAGGUUACAUUAGUUCCAUCUUCAUAGCCCAGGGACUGAGGCUUGAACCCACAAGUCUCUCUUUCUCACUCCUUUAAAGAAACUGCUAACCACUUCCAGGUCAA